AGCCCUUCACAGAAAUGGAAUAUACUCAAAACCUAUUGCAAUUAAAUAUUCUAUUGAGACAUAAGGACAAAUGCACAAAUUACUGCAGGUUUCAAUUUUCAAAUCCAAGCUUAGAGAAGUGUUAUUGCACAAAGUUUAAAAGGUAACCUAAAAUAUUCUGCAGACUAGCCAGUAAUGAAUAAUAAAAAAAGGUUAAUUUAAGCAUACAUACUGAUGCACAAAAAAAGCACAGAAGCAGAAAGCGCUCAGGUGCACAUAAUUGUGACUACCAAUUGUGCAUAAGUGAUCAUUAAUGCGGUCAAUUGCUUAUAUUGUUAGUAUGUACUUAUACAUUAUUAGCUGUCUCAUGGUCUUAUGUUUUUUAUGUUUAAGUCGCUUGUUAUUUAGUUAUUGGCUAUCUACUGUAUGAGAUAUUUCUAAUCUUGGAACAAAACUGGAAUAAAGGCACGCCCCGAUUGCGGCUCUCGUAAGAACUUUAUUCAACACACACGGUAAUCAGCAUUUGGGCCCCCAUUAGGACAACAAUGCAUUCGACUGCACCUGCAUACACAUGCUUGGGGAUUACCUAGAUUACUUAAUGUGAUGUCAUCAGGCAGAGAAAGGUGCACCAAACAUUUAAUGGUUUCCUCUUGUUUUAACUCAGUUUGCUCUCUUAUCACCAAUUGAAGCUAAAUGAUUUCUUGCUUAAAUAAAUUAUAUUGGUGAGGUUGGCCACCCAGUCUUCAGCAUUACACUCACCUGAUUGGUGAUUGGUAAUUACCUUCCAGGUGGAGCCAACAAAACCAAAUUAACUCUUCCUCUAUUUAAAUGCUUCUUACAGCACAUGUGCCUGAUUGCUUGUGCGAGAAGGUAGACAGUUUGCCAGAUAAAUGUCUUGGUGUUUGCGUCCUCUUAAAACAGCUCUAGAUACUGAUUUGGAAAAUGCAGAAGGGACUGGUCUAGAAUGAUUAGCAAAGGCCUGGUCCAGUGGCAAAUGCAUAAAGAGAAUGGCGUCACAGCCUGGAAAAAUGGAUUUCCUGAGCUUCUGGUACCCAAUGACACCCUCCCCGUGGACCAGGUGUGUCACAGGGUGAAAGGGGGCCUCCGGUUCAUGCAGGCCGCUCUCGAAAUUGUCCGAGGACAGCAGGAAGAGCUCAAUCCUAUGGCCACGGAACUGGACUUCAGUCUCGGAAACGUGACGGAGUUGGUCCGGUCCAAUCUCCUUCCUCUGAUUUCGGCCAAGGCGUGCCCCGAGGCCACCGCCCAGGCCACCCCAGCCACUCCGCCCGCCCCGACCACCCCAACCAUCUGGCACACUGACAAAAAGAAGCGAUGGGGUCACACCGUGCUGAAAUUAUCGAAUACGUUCUUGGCCUGGUUGGCAGAGUGGCUGAACCAACGUCCAUUAAAAAAUCACCUAUAGAAAUCACGUCACCUAUAUAAAUCCAUUUUAUUACUGCCACUGUAAUUGGGGGGGGGUGGUAUCUGGACAAAAGAAGUCUCGACCACUCUUUUUGGAUAGAAUGUAAAUUUCUACUUUACCCUGAUUCAGUUUUGCAUACUGCUGAAUUUUGAUUAAUUUUAAUUUAUUUAAUUUAUUUAAUUUAAUUUUUAAAUUAACUUUGAUUUUAAUUAUUCAUCCAUCCUGCAAUUGGCCUAUGUCUACACUUGAUAUUUACCUGAUUCUAGAUGAGUGGCUAUUGUUAAUCUAACACAAAUCAUAAUAGCACCCAGUGGUUAUUUUUUCUUUUUUUUUUGUGUUUAAAAAAUACGUUCAGAGCUGGCUUUGUGGUGAGCUCUUGAUUAUGCUUGAAAAAAAAAAUGGUAUGCAAAAUAGAAUCAUGCCACACAACCCAUGAACGCACACAUCUGUGAACUUGACUGCUUGCAUUAUGAUUCCUGAUGUACUAUUUAUGUCAUAUGUCUCAUGUUUACAUACUCUGUGCCUUUUAUUACUGUAUUAGGAUAUUUAUCCAGCUUGCAGCUGAUAUGAGGUUUUAUAUUUUUUGUACUGGAUAUUCACUAGAAACUAUUAAGGUUACGGAGGAGUUUGUAUGUUUUAUAUUUAAAUAUUUUACUAAAUUAUUUCUGUUUUUAUGUGAAAUGUAUCGUGCUGAAAUGUUUCUCGAGGUCAAGAUGUAUUUGUAUUUUAUUUAAUCUCUGUAAACCCUCUCUCCCCAAUGCCCACCCCUACCCCUGUUGUCCUGUGGUGAUCAUUCAAACAGUCAUAUUUUGUUAAUGUUGACCU
This is a long non-coding RNA of Anguilla rostrata (American eel), 2227 nucleotides long. RefSeq lists it as uncharacterized. NCBI's taxonomy places the organism in Eukaryota, Metazoa, Chordata, Actinopteri, Anguilliformes, Anguillidae. The record is from RefSeq and is a predicted model, not a curated record. The transcript is spliced from 2 exons.